UACGAAGGGGGCUAGCGUUGCUCGGAAUUACUGGGCGUAAAGCGCACGUAGGCGGCUUUCUAAGUCGGGGUGAAAUCCUGGAGCUCAACUCCAGAACUGCCUUUGAUACUGAGAGCUUGAGUCCGGGAGAGGUGAGUGGAACUGCGAGUGUAGAGGUGAAAUUCGUAGAUAUUCGCAAGAACACCAGUGGCGAAGGCGGCUCACUGGCCCGGUACUGACGCUGAGGUGCGAAAGCGUGGGAGCAACAGG
RNAcentral lists this ribosomal RNA (249 nucleotides) under uncultured bacterium. RNAcentral describes it as "partial 16S ribosomal RNA". It matches the Rfam family "Bacterial small subunit ribosomal RNA", at positions 524 to 776 of the family's 1533-position model. The record is from RNAcentral.